GUUCUGGCACGGCUACAUACCUGAUAGCCACAGUAGGGACCCCAAAGCUGCGGCAGCCCAAGCUCCUCUCGGCUUUGCUGCGUGACUUCCUGAGCUGCUGCCUGCAGACAGACGAGGAGCAGCGCUGGUCUGCCAAGGAGCUCCUGCAGCAUCCAUUUGUAACUUCAGCCAAGCCACCAUUCAUCCUGGAACAACUCAUCAACUCAGUGAAGAAGAUGAAUAA
Melospiza melodia melodia is the source of this 223-nucleotide long non-coding RNA. RefSeq lists it as uncharacterized. The record is from RefSeq and is a predicted model, not a curated record. The transcript has 3 exons. NCBI's taxonomy places the organism in Eukaryota, Metazoa, Chordata, Aves, Passeriformes, Passerellidae.